Molecule: ribosomal RNA, 433 nt
Filed under: uncultured bacterium
Lineage: Bacteria
Description: partial 16S ribosomal RNA
Rfam family: Bacterial small subunit ribosomal RNA
Source: RNAcentral
AACGAACGCUGGCGGCAUGCCUAACACAUGCAAGUCGAACGAGACCUUCGGGUCUAGUGGCGCACGGGUGCGUAACGCGUGGGAAUCUGCCCUUGGGUUCGGAAUAACAGUUGGAAACGACUGCUAAUACCGGAUGAUGACGUAAGUCCAAAGAUUUAUCGCCCAGGGAUGAGCCCGCGUAGGAUUAGCUAGUUGGUGGGGUAAAGGCCUACCAAGGCGACGAUCCUUAGCUGGUCUGAGAGGAUGAUCAGCCACACUGGGACUGAGACACGGCCCAGACUCCUACGGGAGGCAGCAGUGGGGAAUAUUGGACAAUGGGCGAAAGCCUGAUCCAGCAAUGCCGCGUGAGUGAUGAAGGCCUUAGGGUUGUAAAGCUCUUUUACCGGGGAUGAUAAUGACAGUACCGGGAGAAUAAGCCCCGGCUAACUCCGUG